RNAcentral lists this transfer RNA (73 nucleotides) under Actinomycetota bacterium. RNAcentral describes it as "tRNA-Phe". It matches the Rfam family "tRNA". Rfam says of the family: Transfer RNA (tRNA) molecules are approximately 80 nucleotides in length. Their secondary structure includes four short double-helical elements and three loops (D, anti-codon, and T loops). Further hydrogen bonds mediate the characteristic L-shaped molecular structure. tRNAs have two regions of fundamental functional importance: the anti-codon, which is responsible for specific mRNA codon recognition, and the 3' end, to which the tRNAs corresponding amino acid is attached (by aminoacyl-tRNA synthetases). tRNAs cope with the degeneracy of the genetic code in two manners: having more than one tRNA (with a specific anti-codon) for a particular amino acid; and 'wobble' base-pairing, i.e. permitting non-standard base-pairing at the 3rd anti-codon position. The record is from RNAcentral. Lineage: Bacteria; Bacillati; Actinomycetota.
GGUCAGGUAGCUCAGCUGGUAGAGCACGCGCCUGAAAAGCGCGGGGUCGGCGGUUCGAUCCCGUCCCUGACCA